This 421-nucleotide long non-coding RNA is filed under the name Homo sapiens (human). RNAcentral's name for it is "non-protein coding lnc-ARID5A-2:1". Lineage: Eukaryota; Metazoa; Chordata; Mammalia; Primates; Hominidae. The record is from RNAcentral.
GUCAGCAAGCUACUCAGUAUCUGACGUGGUUUCUAAGGUGGAGUUGCAUGGGGAGCACUCUCCCGUGGCUGCUGAGUGAAGGCAACAGUGAUGUCCAAAACAAGCCCGUCCGGCUCUGAACCACCAGUUGGCAGGCCAGGAUGACUCCAGUCUUUAGCAAAGAGCUUUCCAUUCUAACUCCCGAAAUCCCAGACCAGAUGGAUGUCUCCUCCCAACUAGGCGCAGAGGGUAGCACAGACUUCCAAAAGGAAACACCUUCAUUAAAUGCAGCAGGCAGUCCUAUAUGCUGACCCUUGGGUCAAACCACAGCUUAAGCGGGGGAAGAAGUGGUUCUGAUCCAUGUACAGCCAGAUCUGCUGAGGAGUCUGGGGUUCCCAGGAACCAGAUUUGCAGAUCCUGGACGAUGGUGCUUCCCUUGCUG